UGGUGUAAAUUGUCUCUAAGCAUAUACAUGUGACAUAAUACAUUUAUUCAUCAUUUGCUAAAAGCAUCAUGUGGUGUUAUUAAAUGAUUCUGGUAGCAUAGUCCCAACAUCCUGCAGCCGUCAGUAAUAUAAACAACGCAAUUUUCAUUCUUGUGAGAUAAGAAAGUAUCCUUCAACGAAAAAGAUGCUGUUGGAUACAUUCUGUAUUUUGACCUUUUUGCCCUUGUUGGCGGCUUUACACCUUCGUGAUGAUUUCAUUAAUGUUGUUUUAAAAGAUUGCUAUUCGUUCGAAAAUAAUGACAAUGCCUUAACCAUGGGGACACUGGAACAGAUGAAGUGUAUGACGCAUCUUAUCUUAAAAAAUGACGAAAAUUUUCAACUCAACCCGAUCGAUUUGCUUCGAAUCCAUAUCAGCAUGACGCAUUUAAAGAAUGGUGGGCCCCUAACUCUGGACAUACCACCAAUAAUCGAGAAGAAAACGUUCGAUCUUCUCCCAAAAGUACCUGUUCACCUAUCGGAUUUGAUAAAGCGAAGAGUCAAAAGGUCGAGGAGAUAUGGAUAUGAUCGUGGAUACGGACGUAAACAAUAUUCACCAUCAGAA
Long non-coding RNA from Mytilus trossulus (common blue mussel), 601 nucleotides. RefSeq lists it as uncharacterized. The record is from RefSeq and is a predicted model, not a curated record. NCBI's taxonomy places the organism in Eukaryota, Metazoa, Mollusca, Bivalvia, Mytilida, Mytilidae. The transcript has 3 exons.